This 461-nucleotide ribosomal RNA is filed under the name uncultured bacterium. RNAcentral's name for it is "partial 16S ribosomal RNA". It matches the Rfam family "Bacterial small subunit ribosomal RNA", at positions 338 to 795 of the family's 1533-position model. The record is from RNAcentral.
CCUACGGGGGACAGCAGUGAGGAAUAUUGGUCAAUGGGCUUACGCCUGAACCAGCCAAGUCGCGUGAGGGAAGACUGCCCUAUGGGUUGUAAACCUCUUUUGUCAGGGAGCAACGCCGGCUACGUGUAGCCGGACUGAGAGUACCUGAAGAAAAAGCAUCGGCUAACUCCGUGCCAGCAGCCGCGGUAAUACGGAGGAUGCGAGCGUUAUCCGGAUUUAUUGGGUUUAAAGGGUGCGUAGGCGGAAUGCCAAGUCAGCGGUGAAAGUUUGUGGCUCAACCAUAAAAUUGCCGUUGAAACUGGAAGACUUGAGUGUGUUUGAGGUAGGCGGAAUGCGUGGUGUAGCGGUGAAAUGCAUAGAUAUCACGCAGAACUCCGAUUGCGAAGGCAGCUUACUAAGCCAUAACUGACACUGAAGCACGAAAGCGUGGGGAUCAAACAGGAUUAGAUACCCUAGUAGUC